UUAUGGCCAUAUCACGUUGAAACACCGGUUCUUGUACGAUCACCGAAGUUAAGCAACGUCGAGCGUGGUCAGUACCUUGAUGGUUGAACGCUUGGUAAUAGCAGGUGCU
Acanthosepion pharaonis is the source of this 109-nucleotide non-coding RNA. NCBI's taxonomy places the organism in Eukaryota, Metazoa, Mollusca, Cephalopoda, Sepiida, Sepiidae. The record is from the annotation of a GenBank genome assembly.